This 400-nucleotide ribosomal RNA is filed under the name Bacillus sp. (in: firmicutes). RNAcentral's name for it is "bacterial SSU rRNA". It matches the Rfam family "Bacterial small subunit ribosomal RNA", at positions 353 to 744 of the family's 1533-position model. Lineage: Bacteria; Bacillati; Bacillota; Bacilli; Caryophanales; Bacillaceae. The record is from RNAcentral.
UUAGGGGAAUCUUCCGCAAUGGGACGAAAGUCUGACGGAGCAACGCCGCGUGAGUGAUGAAGGUUUUCGGAUCGUAAAGCUCUGUUGUUAGGGAAGAACAAGUGCGAGAGUAACUGCUCGCACCUUGACGGUACCUAACCAGAAAGCCACGGCUAACUACGUGCCAGCAGCCGCGGUAAUACGUAGGUGGCAAGCGUUGUCCGGAAUUAUUGGGCGUAAAGGGCUCGCAGGCGGUUUCUUAAGUCUGAUGUGAAAGCCCCCGGCUCAACCGGGGAGGGUCAUUGGAAACUGGGAAACUUGAGUGCAGAAGAGGAGAGUGGAAUUCCACGUGUAGCGGUGAAAUGCGUAGAGAUGUGGAGGAACACCAGUGGCGAAGGCGACUCUCUGGUCUGUAACUGAC